Molecule: non-coding RNA, 92 nt
Organism: Tribolium castaneum (red flour beetle)
Lineage: Eukaryota; Metazoa; Arthropoda; Insecta; Coleoptera; Tenebrionidae
Source: RefSeq, marked provisional
UGUGGCUGACAAGUUUUCAGUUGUUGAUGUGGCUUUAGUGGAGAUUUUACUGAAUUAAAGCUAUGUCAGCAAUUAAAAAAAUGUCGGGUCUU